Small nuclear RNA from Lemur catta (Ring-tailed lemur), 108 nucleotides. The record is from RefSeq and is a predicted model, not a curated record. Lineage: Eukaryota; Metazoa; Chordata; Mammalia; Primates; Lemuridae.
GUGCUCACUUCCACAGCACCUAUACUAAAAAUUGGAACGAUACAGAGACGAUUGGCAUGGUCCCUGCACAAGGAUGACAUGCAAAUUCACGAAGUGUUCCAUAUUUUA